RNAcentral lists this ribosomal RNA (258 nucleotides) under uncultured bacterium. RNAcentral's name for it is "partial 16S ribosomal RNA". It matches the Rfam family "Bacterial small subunit ribosomal RNA", at positions 524 to 775 of the family's 1533-position model. The record is from RNAcentral.
UACGUAGGGUGCAAGCGUUGUCCGGAAUUAUUGGGCGUAAAGAGCUCGUAGGCGGUCUGUCGCGUCUGCUGUGAAAACUCAGGGCUUAACCCUGAGCUUGCAGUGGGUACGGGCAGACUAGAGUGCGGUAGGGGAGACUGGAAUUCCUGGUGUAGCGGUGAAAUGCGACAGAUAUCAGGAGGGAACACCGGUGGCGAAAGGCGGGUCUCUGGGCCGGUAACUGACGCUGGAGGAGCGGAAAGCAUGGGGAGCGAACAG